GGCGAGGUGCCGGAGUGGUUAUCGGGAACGCCUAGAACUUCUCGUUCUACGCCGAAGCGGCGGCAAGCGUUUGGUCUCUGACCGCACAGGUUCGAAUCCUGUUCUCGUCG
Malassezia sympodialis ATCC 42132 is the source of this 110-nucleotide non-coding RNA. The record is from Rfam. Lineage: Eukaryota; Fungi; Basidiomycota; Malasseziomycetes; Malasseziales; Malasseziaceae.